This 73-nucleotide transfer RNA is filed under the name Stegodyphus mimosarum. It matches the Rfam family "tRNA". Rfam says of the family: Transfer RNA (tRNA) molecules are approximately 80 nucleotides in length. Their secondary structure includes four short double-helical elements and three loops (D, anti-codon, and T loops). Lineage: Eukaryota; Metazoa; Arthropoda; Arachnida; Araneae; Eresidae. The record is from Rfam by way of RNAcentral.
GUCUUCGUGGUGUAGUGGUCAGCACUCUCGACGCUUACUCGAGAGGUCCGUGGUUCGAGUCCUGGUGAGGGCA